RNAcentral lists this ribosomal RNA (1452 nucleotides) under metagenome. RNAcentral's name for it is "bacterial LSU rRNA". It matches the Rfam family "Bacterial large subunit ribosomal RNA", at positions 1389 to 2925 of the family's 2925-position model. The record is from RNAcentral.
CCCUUAGUCGAGGCCGAAAGGCGUAGACGAUGGAAAGCAGGUUAAUAUUCCUGCGCCGCGUUAUGGGGGACGUUGUGUGAAUCGAAGUCGGGGUGCUGGUCAUCCCCGUGCCGCAAGGCCGAGUCCAUUUGAUGACGAAGCUUCCUGAAACACAACCAAGAAAAGCCCAUACAUCAGCGACCGUACUAAAACUGACACAGGUAGGUGAGGCGCGUAGCCUCAGGCGCUCGGGAAAACGCUGGUUAAGGAACUCUGCAAAUUUGCCCCGUAACUUCGGGAUAAGGGGUGCCAUCGCAAGAUGGUCACAGCAAAGCGGCGCUAGCGACUGUUUACUAAAAACACAGGUCUCUGCGAACUCGUAAGAGGAUGUAUAGAGACUGACGCCUGCCCGGUACCGGUAAGUUAAUAAAGAGGGUUAGCCUUCGGGCAAAGCCCGCAAUUGAAGCUCCGGUAAACGGCGGCCGUAACUAUGACGGUCCUAAGGUAGCGAAGUUCCUUGUCGGGUAAGUUCCGACCUGCAUGAAUGGCGUAACGACUGGCGCACUGUCUCAACCAGCGACCCGGUGAAAUUGCAGUCGUGGUGAAGAUACCACGUACCCGCAGCAAGACGGAAAGACCCCAUGAACCUUUACUGUAGGCUGAUACUGUCACUUGGCAUGUUUUGUGUAGGAUAGGUGGGAGGCUUUGAAGUCGGUACGCCAGUAUCGAUGGAGCCAUCCUUGAAAUACCACCCUGAACCUGUUAGGUGUCUAACGCGGUCCCGUGAACCCGGGCUGCGGACACUGUCAGUUGGGCAGUUUGACUGGGGCGGUCUCCUCCUAAAGUGUAACGGAGGAGCUCAAAGGUACCCUCAGCCUGGUUGGCAAUCAGGCGAAGAGCGUAAAGGUAGGAGGGUGCUUGACUGCGAGACCUAUAAGUCGAGCAGAAACGAAAGUUGGACUGAGUGAUCCGGCGGUUCCGAAUGGAAGGGCCGUCGCUCAACGGAUAAAAGGUACUCUGGGGAUAACAGGCUGAUCCCGCCCGAGCGUCCAUAGCGGCGGCGGGGUUUGGCACCUCGAUGUCGGCUCAUCACAUCCUGGGGGUGAAGAAGCUCCCAAGGGUUCGGCUGUUCGCCGAUUAAAGUGGUACGUGAGCUGGGUUUAAACCGUCGUGAGACAGGUUGGUCCCUAUCUGCUGUGGGCGCACGAAACUUGAGGGGUAUUCUCUUUAGUACGAGAGGAUUUAGAGGGACGUACCUCUGGUGUUCCUGUUGUCACGCCAGUGGCAGCGCAGGGUAGCUAUGUACGGUUGUGAUAAACGCUGAAAGCAUAUAAGCGUGAAGCCAUCCCCAAGAUAAGGUUUCGUUGAACUUUGUUCUAAACUCCCCUGGAAGACUACCAGGUUGAUAGGCUGGCUGUGAAAGGCGUGCAAGCGUUUGAGCUGACCAGUACUAAUGGAGGAAUAUCUAGCCAC